RNAcentral lists this ribosomal RNA (392 nucleotides) under uncultured bacterium. RNAcentral describes it as "partial 16S ribosomal RNA". It matches the Rfam family "Bacterial small subunit ribosomal RNA", at positions 523 to 918 of the family's 1533-position model. The record is from RNAcentral.
AUACGUAUGUCGCAAGCGUUAUCCGGAUUUAUUGGGCGUAAAGCGCGUCUAGGCGGCUUAGUAAGUCUGAUGUGAAAAUGCGGGGCUCAACCCCGUAUUGCGUUGGAAACUGCUAAACUAGAGUACUGGAGAGGUAGGCGGAACUACAAGUGUAGAGGUGAAAUUCGUAGAUAUUUGUAGGAAUGCCGAUGGGGAAGCCACCCUACUGGAAGGAUACUGACGCUAAAGCGCGAAAGCGAGGGUAGCAAACAGUAUUAGAUGCCCUGGUAGUCCACGCCGUAAACGAUGAUUACUAGGUGUUGGGGGUCGAACCUCAGCGCCCAAGCUAACGCGAUAAGUAAUCCGCCUUGGGAGUACGUACGCAAGUAUGAAACUCAAAUGAAUUGACGGGG